UACAGCGAAGAGAUAGCCCAGUCAGUAGAGCAUGAGACUCUUAAUCUCAGAGUCAUGGGUUUGAGUCCCAUUUGGGUAA
This is a non-coding RNA of Podarcis lilfordi (Lilford's wall lizard), 79 nucleotides long. The record is from the annotation of a GenBank genome assembly. Lineage: Eukaryota; Metazoa; Chordata; Lepidosauria; Squamata; Lacertidae.